RNAcentral lists this ribosomal RNA (787 nucleotides) under uncultured bacterium. Its description in RNAcentral is "bacterial SSU rRNA". It matches the Rfam family "Bacterial small subunit ribosomal RNA", at positions 8 to 796 of the family's 1533-position model. The record is from RNAcentral.
AGAGUUUGAUCCUGGCUCAGGAUGAACGCUAGCGGCAGGCUUAACACAUGCAAGUCGAGGGGUAUAGGUUUUCGGACCUAGAGACCGGCGCACGGGUGCGUAACGCGUAUGCAAUCUACCUUUUACAGAGGGAUAGCCCAGAGAAAUUUGGAUUAAUACCUCAUAGUAUUAUUGAAUGGCAUCAUUUAAUAAUUAAAGUCACAACGGUAAAAGAUGAGCAUGCGUCCCAUUAGCUAGUUGGUAAGGUAACGGCUUACCAAGGCAACGAUGGGUAGGGGUCCUGAGAGGGAGAUCCCCCACACUGGUACUGAGACACGGACCAGACUCCUACGGGAGGCAGCAGUGAGGAAUAUUGGUCAAUGGGCGCAAGCCUGAACCAGCCAUGCCGCGUGCAGGAUGAAGCAUCUAUGGUGUGUAAACUGCUUUUGUACGAGAAGAAACACUCCUUCGUGAAGGAGCUUGACGGUAUCGUAAGAAUAAGGACCGGCUAACUCCGUGCCAGCAGCCGCGGUAAUACGGAGGGUCCAAGCGUUAUCCGGAAUCAUUGGGUUUAAAGGGUCCGUAGGCGGUUUUGUAAGUCAGUGGUGAAAGCCCAUCGCUCAACGGUGGAACGGCCAUUGAUACUGCAAGACUUGAAUUAUUAGGAAGUAACUAGAAUAUGUAGUGUAGCGGUGAAAUGCUUAGAUAUUACAUGGAAUACCAAUUGCGAAGGCAGGUUACUACUAAUUGAUUGACGCUGAUGGACGAAAGCGUGGGGAGCGAACAGGAUUAGAUACCCUAGUAGUCC